GAUGAACGCUGGCGGCGUGCCUAAUACAUGCAAGUCGAGCGAACAGACGAGGAGCUUGCUCCUCUGACGUUAGCGGCGGACGGGUGAGUAACACGUGGAUAACCUACCUAUAAGACUGGGAUAACUUCGGGAAACCGGAGCUAAUACCGGAUAAUAUAUUGAACCGCAUGGUUCAAUAGUGAAAGACGGUUUUGCUGUCACUUAUAGAUGGAUCCGCGCCGCAUUAGCUAGUUGGUAAGGUAACGGCUUACCAAGGCAACGAUGCGUAGCCGACCUGAGAGGGUGAUCGGCCACACUGGAACUGAGACACGGUCCAGACUCCUACGGGAGGCAGCAGUAGGGAAUCUUCCGCAAAGGGCGAAAGCCUGACGGAGCAACGCCGCGUGAGUGAUCAAGGUCUUCGGAUCGUAAAACUCUGUUAUUAGGGAAGAACAAAUGUGUAAGUAACUAUGCACGUCUUGACGGUACCUAAUCAGAAAGCCACGGCUAACUACGUG
This 497-nucleotide ribosomal RNA is filed under the name uncultured bacterium. RNAcentral's name for it is "partial 16S ribosomal RNA". It matches the Rfam family "Bacterial small subunit ribosomal RNA", at positions 28 to 507 of the family's 1533-position model. The record is from RNAcentral.